AUCGAACCCGGAGAUAGCUGGUUCUCCUCGAAAUAGCUUUAGGGCUAGCCUCAUGGAUCAUUGAUGGGGGUAGAGCACUGAAUGUGCGCGGGGGCCACAAAGCCUACCAAACGCUAUCAAACUACGAAUACCAUACAAUGCAGACCAUGGGAGUCAGUCCGCGAGAGAUAAGUUCCGCGGGCAAAAGGGGAACACCCCAGAUCAACCGCUAAGGUCCCCAAGUUCACGUUAAGUGGAGAAGGAUGUGGAAUUGCACAGACAACCAGGAUGUUGGCUCAGAAGCAGCCACACAUUUAAAGAGUGCGUAAUAGCUCACUGGUCGAGUGAUUGUGCGCCGAAGAUGUCCGGGGCUAAACGUGACACCGAAGCGAUGGGUGCAUCUGAAAGGAUGCGCGGUAGAGGAGCAAUGUGCAGAGGCAGAAGCCGUAUCGAGAGGCACGGUGGACACUGCACAAGAGAGAAUGCCGGUAUGAGUAGCGAGAGGCAUGCGAGAAACAUGCCCGUCGAAAGCCCAAGGUUUCCUGGGGAAGGUUCAUCCGCCCAGGGUAAGUCGGGGCCUAAGCCGAGGACGGAAGUCGUAGGCGAUGGACAGCAGGUGUAGAUUCCUGCACUACCGAUGGAAUGAAGCAGUGACACAGAAGGAUAACUCGAGCAGGGUGAUGGUCAACCCUGUGCAAGCAUCAAGGUUGGGUUGUAGUGAAGUACGCAACCCUACAAGCUGAGGUGUGAUGCGGACCGAAAUUUUAGUAGGGAAGCGAGUGAGUUCACGCUGGCGAGAAAAGCUGCUAGUACAUCCAAAGGUACCCGUACCGGAAACCGACGCAGGUGGGCGAGGAGAGAAUCCUGAGACGAACGGGAGAACCCUUGUUAAGGAACUCGGCAAAAUGACCCCGUAACUUCGGGAUAAGGGGUGCCUGCGAGAGCAGGCCGCAGAGAAUAGUCACAAGCGACUGUUUAGCAAAAACACAGGUAUCUGCGAAAGCGAGAGCUGACGUAUAGGUGCUGACACCUGCCCGGUGCUGGAAGGUUAAGGGAACAUGUUAGAGCAAUCGAAGCAUCGAACCGAAGCCCCAGUAAACGGCGGCCGUAACUAUAACGGUCCUAAGGUAGCGAAAUUCCUUGUCGGGUAAGUUCCGACCCGCACGAAUGGUGUAACGACUUGUGAGCUGUCUCAACAGGGGGCCCGGUGAAAUUGAAGUAUGGGUGAAGAUGCCCAUUACCCGCGACUGGACGGAGAGACCCCGUAGAGCUUUACUGCAGCCUGAUAUUGAGUUUCGGUAACUGAUGCACAGGAUAGGUGGGAGUCUGAGAGACACGGGUUUCGGCUCGUGUGGAGACGCUGUUGGGAUACCACUCUUCGGUUACUGAAAUUCUAACAUAGCUCUGUGAAACCAGAGGAUGGACAGUGUCAGGUGGACAGUUUGACUGGGGCGGUCGCCUCCGAAAGAGUAACGGAGGCGCCCAAAGGUACCCUCAGAAUGGAUGGAAACCAUUCGAAGAGCGCAAAGGCAGAAGGGUGCCUGACUGCGAGAUUGACAAAUCGAGCAGAGACGAAAGUCGGGCUUAGUGAUCCGGCGGUAUUGAGUGGAAAAGCCGUCGCUUAACGGAUAAAAGCUACCUCGGGGAUAACAGGCUGAUCUCCCCCAAGAGUCCACAUCGACGGGGAGGUUUGGCACCUCGAUGUCGGCUCGUCGCAUCCUGGGGCUGAAGCAGGUCCCAAGGGUUUGGCUGUUCGCCAAUUAAAGCGGCACGCGAGCUGGGUUCAGAACGUCGUGAGACAGUUCGGUCCCUAUCCAUCGUGGGCGUAGGAGUCAUGAGAGGAGCUGUUCCUAGUACGAGAGGACCGGAAUGGACGCACCACUGGUGCAACUGUUGUCGUGCCAACGGCAUAGCAGGGAAGCGAAGUGCGGAUGGGAUAAACGCUGAAGGCAUCUAAGCGUGAAGCCCACCUCAAGAAUAAGACUCCACAAUAGACCCCUGGAGGACUACCAGGUAGAUAGGUCAUCGGUGGAAGCGCUGUAAGGCGUGUAGCUUGAUGAUACUAAUCGGUCGAAAGCUUCAUUUA
RNAcentral lists this ribosomal RNA (2065 nucleotides) under human gut metagenome. Its description in RNAcentral is "bacterial LSU rRNA". It matches the Rfam family "Bacterial large subunit ribosomal RNA", at positions 832 to 2925 of the family's 2925-position model. The record is from RNAcentral.